This is a non-coding RNA of Otolemur garnettii (small-eared galago), 103 nucleotides long. The record is from Rfam. NCBI's taxonomy places the organism in Eukaryota, Metazoa, Chordata, Mammalia, Primates, Galagidae.
UUGCUUCAGCAGCACAUAUAACUAAAGUAGAAAGACACAGAGAAGAUCAGCAUGGCCCCUGCAUAAGGAUGACACACAAAUUCAUAAAGCAUUCCAUAUUUUU